This 497-nucleotide ribosomal RNA is filed under the name uncultured bacterium. RNAcentral's name for it is "partial 16S ribosomal RNA". It matches the Rfam family "Bacterial small subunit ribosomal RNA", at positions 28 to 507 of the family's 1533-position model. The record is from RNAcentral.
GAUGAACGCUGGCGGCGUGCCUAAUACAUGCAAGUCGAGCGAACAGACGAGGAGCUUGCUCCUCUGAUGUUAGCGGCGGACGGGUGAGUAACACGUGGAUAACCUACCUAUAAGACUGGGAUAACUUCGGGAAACCGGAGCUAAUACCGGAUAACAUGUUGAACCGCAUGGUUCAACAGUGAAAGACGGUCUUGCUGUCGCUUAUAGAUGGAUCCGCGCCGCAUUAGCUAGUUGGUAAGGUAACGGCUUACCAAGGCAACGAUGCGUAGCCGACCUGAGAGGGUGAUCGGCCACACUGGAACUGAGACACGGUCCAGACUCCUACGGGAGGCAGCAGUAGGGAAUCUUCCGCAAUGGGCGAAAGCCUGACGGAGCAACGCCGCGUGAGUGAAGAAGGUCUUCGGAUCGUAAAACUCUGUUAUUAGGGAAGAACAAAUGUGUAAGUAACUAUGCACGUCUUGACGGUACCUAAUCAGAAAGCCACGGCUAACUACGUG